This 164-nucleotide small nuclear RNA is filed under the name Echinops telfairi (small Madagascar hedgehog). RNAcentral describes it as "U1 spliceosomal RNA (ENSETEG00000022632.1)". It matches the Rfam family "U1 spliceosomal RNA". From Rfam's summary of the family: U1 is a small nuclear RNA (snRNA) component of the spliceosome (involved in pre-mRNA splicing). The record is from RNAcentral. Lineage: Eukaryota; Metazoa; Chordata; Mammalia; Afrosoricida; Tenrecidae.
AAAGUUCCCCUGCUUUGGGGAGAAAUACCAUGAUCACGAAAGGUGGUUUUCCCCAAGGCGAGGCAUUGCACUCCGGAUGUGCUGACCCCUGUGAUUUCCCCAAAUGUGGGAAACUCGAGUACAUAAUUUGUGGUAGUGGGGGACUGCGUUAGCACUCUCCCCUU